Molecule: ribosomal RNA, 1444 nt
Filed under: uncultured bacterium
Lineage: Bacteria
Description: 16S ribosomal RNA
Rfam family: Bacterial small subunit ribosomal RNA
Source: RNAcentral
CAGGCUUAACACAUGCAAGUCGAGGGGCAGCAUGGUCUUAGCUUGCUAAGGCCGAUGGCGACCGGCGCACGGGUGAGUAACACGUAUCCAACCUGCCGUCUACUCUUGGACAGCCUUCUGAAAGGAAGAUUAAUACAAGAUGGCAUCAUGAGUCCGCAUGUUCACAUGAUUAAAGGUAUUCCGGUAGACGAUGGGGAUGCGUUCCAUUAGAUAGUAGGCGGGGUAACGGCCCACCUAGUCUUCGAUGGAUAGGGGUUCUGAGAGGAAGGUCCCCCACAUUGGAACUGAGACACGGUCCAAACUCCUACGGGAGGCAGCAGUGAGGAAUAUUGGUCAAUGGGCGAGAGCCUGAACCAGCCAAGUAGCGUGAAGGAUGACUGCCCUAUGGGUUGUAAACUUCUUUUAUAAAGGAAUAAAGUCGGGUAUGCAUACCCGUUUGCAUGUACUUUAUGAAUAAGGAUCGGCUAACUCCGUGCCAGCAGCCGCGGUAAUACGGAGGAUCCGAGCGUUAUCCGGAUUUAUUGGGUUUAAAGGGAGCGUAGAUGGAUGUUUAAGUCAGUUGUGAAAGUUUGCGGCUCAACCGUAAAAUUGCAGUUGAUACUGGAUAUCUUGAGUGCAGUUGAGGCAGGCGGAAUUCGUGGUGUAGCGGUGAAAUGCUUAGAUAUCACGAAGAACUCCGAUUGCGAAGGCAGCCUGCUAAGCUGCAACUGACAUUGAGGCUCGAAAGUGUGGGUAUCAAACAGGAUUAGAUACCCUGGUAGUCCACACGGUAAACGAUGGAUACUCGCUGUUUGCGAUAUACAGCAAGCGGCCAAGCGAAAGCGUUAAGUAUUCCACCUGGGGAGUACGCCGGCAACGGUGAAACUCAAAGGAAUUGACGGGGGCCCGCACAAGCGGAGGAACAUGUGGUUUAAUUCGAUGAUACGCGAGGAACCUUACCCGGGCUUAAAUUGCAGAUGAAUUACGGUGAAAGCCGUAAGCCGCAAGGCAUCUGUGAAGGUGCUGCAUGGUUGUCGUCAGCUCGUGCCGUGAGGUGUCGGCUUAAGUGCCGUAACGAGCGCAACCCUUGUUGUCAGUUACUAACAGGUCAUGCUGAGGACUCUGACAAGACUGCCAUCGUAAGAUGUGAGGAAGGUGGGGAUGACGUCAAAUCAGCACGGCCCUUACGUCCGGGGCUACACACGUGUUACAAUGGGGGGUACAGAGGGCCGCUACCACGCGAGUGGAUGCCAAUCCCAAAAACCUCUCUCAGUUCGGACUGGAGUCUGCAACCCGACUCCACGAAGCUGGAUUCGCUAGUAAUCGCGCAUCAGCCACGGCGCGGUGAAUACGUUCCCGGGCCUUGUACACACCGCCCGUCAAGCCAUGGGAGCCGGGGGUACCUGAAGUGCGUAACCGCGAGGAGCGCCCUAGGGUAAAACUGGUGACUGGGGCUAAGUCGUAA